UACGGAGGGUGCAAGCGUUAAUCGGAUUUUACUGGGGCGUAAAAGCGUGCGUAGGUGGUUUUGUUAAGUCAGUUGUGAAAAUCCCCAGGGCUCAACCUUGGAAUUGCAUCUGAUACUGGCAGACUAGAGAUCGGUAGAGGUUAGUGGAAUUCCAGGUGUAGCGGUGAAAAUGCGUAGAUAUCUGGAGGAACAUCGAUGGCGAAGGCAACUGACUGGGGCCUGAUCUGACACUGAGGUACGAAAAAGCGUGGGGGAGCAAAACAGGAUUAGAUACCCCGCGUAGUCC
RNAcentral lists this ribosomal RNA (286 nucleotides) under uncultured bacterium. RNAcentral's name for it is "partial 16S ribosomal RNA". It matches the Rfam family "Bacterial small subunit ribosomal RNA", at positions 524 to 796 of the family's 1533-position model. The record is from RNAcentral.